UUUCUUUUUCCUCUCUUGCGAGACUCCCUCUCUCCUUCUGUAUACUUCCAAUUUACUUUAGUAAUUCACCCAUAAAUUCUACAAAGCCCUGCCUCGUUUUAAAUGUUUUAACAUAUUUCCUAACUACGGUCCUGAUGAAAUUUUUCCGCUACCAAAUUAAUAAACACCAAUACCAUCUGACUGGCUCACGACUCCCGUUCCCAGGGUGGAUCAGGGGUUGUGACAGAAAAUGUGGUAUCAGAGCUAUGCCACUGGUUUAAGCCCUUUAGGUGUUCUCCUAAUACCUAAACCCUUAACCAUUUAUGGUAUUUUAACAAAUUUUGAGUCCAUAGUAUGAACGACCAAUAUGAUUAGACGUACCCAUAAGCUAACUAGACAGAUAUAUUAUACUACAGUCUUAACUUAGGGUACCAGCUUGAGUUACAUCCCUUUCAAAGAUAAAUGAAUGUACUGUUAAAAAAAAUUAUUUCAUAUAUAUAUAUAUAUAUAUAUAUAUAUAUAUAUAUAUAUAGGGGAAGGUUCAAAUGAAAACCACUAGUUAUUGUGAAAACUCGAAAACU
RNAcentral lists this long non-coding RNA (560 nucleotides) under Helianthus annuus (common sunflower). RNAcentral describes it as "hypothetical non coding rna". Lineage: Eukaryota; Viridiplantae; Streptophyta; Magnoliopsida; Asterales; Asteraceae. The record is from RNAcentral.